GCCAAUGUGGUGUAGUGGUUUGAGUGCUGAACUAGGACUCUGGAGAUCAGGGUUUGAUUCCCUGCUUGGCCA
Molecule: non-coding RNA, 72 nt
Organism: Phrynosoma platyrhinos (Desert horned lizard)
Lineage: Eukaryota; Metazoa; Chordata; Lepidosauria; Squamata; Phrynosomatidae
Source: the annotation of a GenBank genome assembly